GGGGAAUAUUGCACAAUGGGCGCAAGCCUGAUGCAGCCAUGCCGCGUGUGUGAAGAAGGCCUUCGGGUUGUAAAGCACUUUCAGCGAGGAGGAAGGGUAGCGUGUUAAUAGCACAUUGCAUUGACGUUACUCGCAGAAGAAGCACCGGCUAACUCCGUGCCAGCAGCCGCGGUAAUACGGAGGGUGCAAGCGUUAAUCGGAAUUACUGGGCGUAAAGCGCACGCAGGCGGUUUGUUAAGUCAGAUGUGAAAUCCCCGCGCUUAACGUGGGAACUGCAUU
This 279-nucleotide ribosomal RNA is filed under the name uncultured bacterium. Its description in RNAcentral is "partial 16S ribosomal RNA". It matches the Rfam family "Bacterial small subunit ribosomal RNA", at positions 356 to 627 of the family's 1533-position model. The record is from RNAcentral.